Molecule: ribosomal RNA, 936 nt
Filed under: uncultured bacterium
Lineage: Bacteria
Description: bacterial SSU rRNA
Rfam family: Bacterial small subunit ribosomal RNA
Source: RNAcentral
AGAGUUUGAUCCUGGCUCAGAAUGAACGUUGGCGGCGUGGAUUAGGCAUGCAAGUCGAGCGCUCAUAGCAAUAUGGGAACGGCGAACGGCGUAGGAAUUCAUAGGAACGUACCCUCGGGUCGGGGAUAGCUACGGGAAACUGUAGGUAAUACCCGAUGAUCUCUGCGGAGCAAAGGUGUGAUUCCGCCUGAGGAGCGGCUUAUGUGAUAUUAGCUAGUUGGUGGGGUAAUGGCCUACCAAGACAAAGAUGUCUAGGGGGUGUGAGAGCAUGGCCCCCACGACCGGAACUGAGAUACUGUCCGGACACCUACGGGUGGCUGCAGUCAAGAAUCUUCCGCAAUGGACGAAAGUCUGACGGAGCGACGCCGCGUGCGGGAUGAAGGCCCUUGGGUUGUAAACCGCUUUCGGAGGGGAUGAAAUCCUCGAGGGUACUCCCUCGAGGUUGACAGAGCCUCAAAAGAAGCACGGGCUAAGUACGUGCCAGCAGCCGCGGUAACACGUACUGUGCGAACGUUAUUCGGAAUCACUGGGCUUAGAGGGUGCGUAGGCGGCGAUUCAAGUCAGAUGUGAAAUGCCUGAGCUCAACUGAGGCAUUGCGUUUGAAACUGAUUCGCUAGAGUAUUUCCGGGGGUGUGCGGAACUGCCAGUGGAGCGGUGAAAUGUGUUUGAUUAUUGGCAAGGAACACCGGAGGCGAAGCGGCACACUGGGGUAUUACUGACGCUGAGCACGAAGCCAGGGGAGCGAACGGGAUACAUACCCCCGGUAGUCUGCUGUAACGAUGCCUGGCGGGGGGGGAGGGGGUUUCUUCUCCUUUUUCCUGCAGAACGAAGCGUAACUGCUCGCUGGGGGGAGAUAGGUCCGGAGGCUGACCGAGAUGACGGGAUCACACGGGGAGUAGAUAUUGCUAUUCAGCAGCGAGAUCUUAUGCCUGGACU